ACUCCCUCUAUUCUCCUCUCGACAUUUUUUUUUCUUCUUUCAGCUAGGGUUCUUCUUCCCGAGAUUUGAAGAGAAGAGUGACUGAAUUGAAGUUAGGGUUUGAAGGAAUCAAUCUGACAAGAGUAACUGAAAUUGAAGUUUGGGUUUGAAGCAAUCAAGCCGAACGAAACAUAGGUCAUUCAGAUUUUCAUAGCUUCCAUCUUGAAGCUAUUUUAUUAUUUUUGGAUUGCAAAAAAGGUAGAGAAGAAGAAAGAUUAACAUCUCAAGAGGCUCGAUUAACACUUGCUGAAGUUGUGCAAAAAAACGUAAUUGAAUUUGCCUAUUCCUUAUUAGAUUAACUAAUUUUUGUUUUCUCGUAUUAGGUUUCUGUUUGUAUUGAUAAUAUCUUACAACUCUCUACUUUUGUCUUUCUUAUGGGUCGCGUGGUUGAAAAUCGUUGUGCUGAAGACUUAAACAUCAAUCCUGCUUUGAAACCUGUAGUUCGCAAAACAAAAAAGAGUAGUGCUUUGAAACCUGUGGUUUAAAGAACAAAAAGGGAUGCAGGGUUCAGGGUUAAUAUUUUGAAUUUACCAUCAUCAAAGGAUGCAUAAUUUUGAACAAAAAGGGAUGCAUAAUUUUGAGUUCAGUAUUUCUGCUCAUCAAGGACCAUUUACAACAGUUCAGUAUUUCUGCUCAUCAAUUUUGGAACUAGCUAAGAAUGAAAAUUCUAUUAUGUAGGUACAACUUUUUGAGUUGGUAUGUACCUGUGUAGGAAUUGUUUCGGCGUUUUUCUAUAAUAUACCGUACAAUUGCCAUUUUGAACAUUACAAUUUAGUCUCUUUUUUCAUUUUUCUUUGCAACAUUGCGGCAUCUAUUUAGAAUUUAGUCUCUACAUGACUAAAUAUCAAAUACUAACUCAGGUGACAGUCUUUUCUUUAAAUUCUUUUUGCUUUAUUGUGUAACCUAAUAAUUUCAAUUUUCUUAUAUAUGUCUGUGCUAAUGUCAUUGCAAUGUUGUUGUUGUAGGUAAUUUCAAUGAUUAAUUCAAUGUAGCUUAUGCAGGUCAAUUCAAUGCCAUAUGGGUACACUACCUAGGGCACCUCCACCUUGGAGAUUGAUAUAUAAUAUCUGUAGGUACUCAGCACCAAAAAUGCUUUGCUCUGAAUCUUCUAGCUGCAAACCAGUGAUACAAUAACAGAUUCCAAAAAUUACAAGCAUUGGCAAGUAGUGAGAACUGUUUCAUCUGAAAAUUCCGACGACCUUCGUGCAAAAGGCAAAAGUACUUUGGAAGAGAACGCCAUAAGCCACAUGUGGAUUUUAUUUGGGGAUAAUUGACGUUUGGUACUCAAGUUUAGACCAACACUAGGCUUUGGUCUAACAUUCGUCCAACGUUAAGCUUUGGUACCUGGACCGGACGUUGACCUACAUUGACUAGGUUAAGUUCUAAAUUCUGUUUAGUAAUUAUUAGAAAAUUAAUAUAAAAUUUAAUUAUUAAAGAGAUUACUAUAAUACCCUUUAGUUUUCUUAAUAUUUACAAAAAAAACUCCACAUCAACCACCAGUUAAAUCUCCGGCCAGCCAAACCCAUCAAAAUCUUCGUUCUUGGUAGCAGCAGUAGAACCAUUCCUCACCUAAAUUGACCAAGCAGUAGAACCACCAGUUAAAUCUCCGGCCAGCCAAACCCAUCCUUCCAAACUGAUGACCGAAUAAUCUCCUCAAGAUCGAAAUCUAAGAAAACUCAUUUCAAUUCUUGCCCCAAUUCUUCUGUAUCUAAAUUUAAAUCUCUAAGUUCAACUUCUCAACUCCAUUACUGACUGUUGUAUCAUCUUCUUUUUCAAGUUCUUCACCAGAUUUCACCAUCAGACCUUUAAAUUUCAAAUUCUCUUUGAUUAGACAGCAGCAAUAACAAUCUCAGCCACUGUUAAUUCGUUCAAAUUCUCCUUCAUAAGAACAAUUGAUAAAGAACACAACACCAUCUUCUGCAAUUUCAGCUUCAAACCCUCAAUUUGUCACCAACUCAGUAGCAGCAAGCUCCAUUCAUCCCCUUCCUUUCUAUUUCUUCAAAUACCCUUCGGCAUCUCGACCUCCACCGCAACAAAUCUUCUCUCAAUCUCUGUAAAAAUCCGCAGCCGUAUUUCCCCACUCAUCUCCGUCAAACCCUAUCCAAAACCAGUCACGGAUUCAGCUGUUUCUUUUCUUCUUCCUUGAUUCGAAUUUAGUAAUCAUAUUGAAAUCUCAAUUGAAACCAUAUUAAGACUCAAUUGAACCCAUAUUAAAUAAUCGAUUCCGUUAUGAAUCUCAACUAAAAUCCCUAUUGAAUAUAACUGAAACCCCUACUAAAUCGAUUAUGUAUGAGCUCAAAUUGAAACCCAAAAAAGAAUCAAAACCCUAAAUUCAUUUUUUAAUUUGAAACCCAAUUCUUCAAAACAUCAAAACCCUAACCGAACCUUAAUGACUUCUUUAAAAACUGAACCCUAAUCAUUUCUGCAACAACAAUAGUAAACCACAUAACCUCUGUUUGCCUUAUUCUUUCAUCAAAUCAAACCCUAGGUUCUAAAUCUCUGAAACAGUUUUUUCUUCAUCAUUCGCAUCCAAGUAAACUAAAUCCUCAUACAUUUACAUGAUGGGUUUCAACGAAGAAAAAAAGAAAAAAAAUUAUACAAUGGAGAUUAUAGAAGUGAUGGAUGUAGCAGACAAAGAAAAAGAGUGGAGAAAGAAUUUGUGGUGUGAAUAAACUACCGCCCACUGAUACAUAUGAAAAAGAGUAGGAUUAAUCAGGGCUAUACUUGUAAACCCAGAAUUUCACAAUAUUUUCAUUUUAGAAAAUUAAAUUAAGUUUGGUCAUAAACAGUCAACGGGGUCAACGUUUGGUCCAGAUAUCAAAGCCUAACGUUGGACAAAUGUUAGACCAAAGCCUAGUGUUGGUCUAAACCUGAGUACCAAACGCCAAUUAUCCCUUUUAUUUGUCUUAAAUGUCAUAUAUCGCACAAGCACGGGAAGGCGUACAAUUUGCAAUAUGACUUGCUAGAUCAACUCCUCAGCUUUGCGAUAUAUAGUGUUAACAUUAAAGAUGCUAUCAUUUCUUAAUUGUGUAUAUUGCUCAUGGAUGUUCAUAAAGGAUUUUUCCGUCAUCAUCUGUUGAGCUUAACAUCUAUCGUCAGCUUACUAUUUACGGUUGCUACAUAAAAGCUUAUACACGUUUACAGUUAAACAUAUUAAUUCAAUGCUUUCAUGUAUUA
Papaver somniferum (opium poppy) is the source of this 3216-nucleotide long non-coding RNA. RefSeq lists it as uncharacterized. NCBI's taxonomy places the organism in Eukaryota, Viridiplantae, Streptophyta, Magnoliopsida, Ranunculales, Papaveraceae. The transcript is spliced from 4 exons. The record is from RefSeq and is a predicted model, not a curated record.